This 497-nucleotide ribosomal RNA is filed under the name uncultured bacterium. RNAcentral describes it as "partial 16S ribosomal RNA". It matches the Rfam family "Bacterial small subunit ribosomal RNA", at positions 28 to 507 of the family's 1533-position model. The record is from RNAcentral.
GAUGAACGCUGGCGGCGUGCCUAAUACAUGCAAGUCGAGCGAACAGACGAGGAGCUUGCUCCUCUGACGUUAGCGGCGGACGGGUGAGUAACACGUGGAUAACCUACCUAUAAGACUGGGAUAACUUCGGGAAACCGGAGCUAAUCCCGGAUAAUAUAUUGAACCGCAUGGUUCAAUAGUGAAAGACGGUUUUGCUGUCACUUAUCGAUGGUUCCGCGCCGCAUUAGCUAGUUGGUAAGGUAACGGGUUACCAAGGCAACGAUGCGUAGGCGACGUGCGAGGGGGAUCGGCGACACUGGAACGGAGACAGGGUCCAGGCUCCUACGGGAGGCAGCAGUAGGGAAUCGUCCGCAACGGGCGAAAGCUUGACGGAGCAGGGCCGCGUGAGUGAUGAAGGUCUUCGGUUCGUAAAACUCUGUUAUGAGGGAAGAACAAAUGUGUAAGGAACUAUGCACGGCUUGACGGUACCUAAUCAGAAAGCCACGGCUAACUACGUG